This 2902-nucleotide ribosomal RNA is filed under the name Klebsiella pneumoniae. RNAcentral's name for it is "23S ribosomal RNA". It matches the Rfam family "Bacterial large subunit ribosomal RNA". The record is from RNAcentral. RNAcentral also lists the same sequence under 2 other names. Lineage: Bacteria; Pseudomonadati; Pseudomonadota; Gammaproteobacteria; Enterobacterales; Enterobacteriaceae.
GGUUAAGCGACUAAGCGUACACGGUGGAUGCCCUGGCAGUCAGAGGCGAUGAAGGACGUGCUAAUCUGCGAAAAGCGUCGGUAAGGUGAUAUGAACCGUUAUAGCCGGCGAUGUCCGAAUGGGGAAACCCAGUGCAAUUCGUUGCACUAUCGUUAACUGAAUACAUAGGUUAACGAGGCGAACCGGGGGAACUGAAACAUCUAAGUACCCCGAGGAAAAGAAAUCAACCGAGAUUCCCCCAGUAGCGGCGAGCGAACGGGGAGCAGCCCAGAGUCUGAAUCAGCUUGUGUGUUAGUGGAACGGUCUGGAAAGUCCGACGGUACAGGGUGAUAGUCCCGUACACCAAAAUGCACAGGCUGUGAACUCGAAGAGUAGGGCGGGACACGUGGUAUCCUGUCUGAAUAUGGGGGGACCAUCCUCCAAGGCUAAAUACUCCUGACUGACCGAUAGUGAACCAGUACCGUGAGGGAAAGGCGAAAAGAACCCCGGCGAGGGGAGUGAAAAAGAACCUGAAACCGUGUACGUACAAGCAGUGGGAGCACCUUCGGGUGUGACUGCGUACCUUUUGUAUAAUGGGUCAGCGACUUAUAUUCUGUAGCAAGGUUAACCGUAUAGGGGAGCCGCAGGGAAACCGAGUCUUAACUGGGCGUUAAGUUGCAGGGUAUAGACCCGAAACCCGGUGAUCUAGCCAUGGGCAGGUUGAAGGUUGGGUAACACUAACUGGAGGACCGAACCGACUAAUGUUGAAAAAUUAGCGGAUGACUUGUGGCUGGGGGUGAAAGGCCAAUCAAACCGGGAGAUAGCUGGUUCUCCCCGAAAGCUAUUUAGGUAGCGCCUCGUGAAUUCAUCUUCGGGGGUAGAGCACUGUUUCGGCUAGGGGGUCAUCCCGACUUACCAACCCGAUGCAAACUACGAAUACCGAAGAAUGUUAUCACGGGAGACACACGGCGGGUGCUAACGUCCGUCGUGAAGAGGGAAACAACCCAGACCGCCAGCUAAGGUCCCAAAGUCAUGGUUAAGUGGGAAACGAUGUGGGAAGGCACAGACAGCCAGGAUGUUGGCUUAGAAGCAGCCAUCAUUUAAAGAAAGCGUAAUAGCUCACUGGUCGAGUCGGCCUGCGCGGAAGAUGUAACGGGGCUAAACCAUGCACCGAAGCUGCGGCAGCGACACUAUGUGUUGUUGGGUAGGGGAGCGUUCUGUAAGCCUGCGAAGGUGACCUGUGAGGGUUGCUGGAGGUAUCAGAAGUGCGAAUGCUGACAUAAGUAACGAUAAAGCGGGUGAAAAGCCCGCUCGCCGGAAGACCAAGGGUUCCUGUCCAACGUUAAUCGGGGCAGGGUGAGUCGACCCCUAAGGCGAGGCCGAAAGGCGUAGUCGAUGGGAAACAGGUUAAUAUUCCUGUACUUGGUGUUACUGCGAAGGGGGGACGGAGAAGGCUAUGUUAGCCGGGCGACGGUUGUCCCGGUUUAAGCAUGUAGGCUGGUUAUCCAGGCAAAUCCGGAUAAUCAAGGCUGAGGUGUGAUGACGAGGCACUACGGUGCUGAAGUAACAAAUGCCCUGCUUCCAGGAAAAGCCUCUAAGCAUCAGGUAACAUCAAAUCGUACCCCAAACCGACACAGGUGGUCAGGUAGAGAAUACCAAGGCGCUUGAGAGAACUCGGGUGAAGGAACUAGGCAAAAUGGUGCCGUAACUUCGGGAGAAGGCACGCUGGUGUGUAGGUGAAGUCCCUGCGGAUGGAGCUGAGACCAGUCGAAGAUACCAGCUGGCUGCAACUGUUUAUUAAAAACACAGCACUGUGCAAACACGAAAGUGGACGUAUACGGUGUGACGCCUGCCCGGUGCCGGAAGGUUAAUUGAUGGGGUUAUCCGUAAGGAGAAGCUCUUGAUCGAAGCCCCGGUAAACGGCGGCCGUAACUAUAACGGUCCUAAGGUAGCGAAAUUCCUUGUCGGGUAAGUUCCGACCUGCACGAAUGGCGUAAUGAUGGCCAGGCUGUCUCCACCCGAGACUCAGUGAAAUUGAACUCGCUGUGAAGAUGCAGUGUACCCGCGGCAAGACGGAAAGACCCCGUGAACCUUUACUAUAGCUUGACACUGAACAUUGAGCCUUGAUGUGUAGGAUAGGUGGGAGGCUUUGAAGCGUGGACGCCAGUCUGCGUGGAGCCAACCUUGAAAUACCACCCUUUAAUGUUUGAUGUUCUAACGUUGGCCCCUGACCGGGGUUGCGGACAGUGUCUGGUGGGUAGUUUGACUGGGGCGGUCUCCUCCCAAAGCGUAACGGAGGAGCACGAAGGUUAGCUAAUCCUGGUCGGACAUCAGGAGGUUAGUGCAAUGGCAUAAGCUAGCUUGACUGCGAGCGUGACGGCGCGAGCAGGUGCGAAAGCAGGUCAUAGUGAUCCGGUGGUUCUGAAUGGAAGGGCCAUCGCUCAACGGAUAAAAGGUACUCCGGGGAUAACAGGCUGAUACCGCCCAAGAGUUCAUAUCGACGGCGGUGUUUGGCACCUCGAUGUCGGCUCAUCACAUCCUGGGGCUGAAGUAGGUCCCAAGGGUAUGGCUGUUCGCCAUUUAAAGUGGUACGCGAGCUGGGUUUAGAACGUCGUGAGACAGUUCGGUCCCUAUCUGCCGUGGGCGCUGGAGAAUUGAGGGGGGCUGCUCCUAGUACGAGAGGACCGGAGUGGACGCAUCACUGGUGUUCGGGUUGUCAUGCCAAUGGCACUGCCCGGUAGCUAAAUGCGGAAGAGAUAAGUGCUGAAAGCAUCUAAGCACGAAACUUGCCCCGAGAUGAGUUCUCCCUGAGACUUUAAGUCUCCUGAAGGAACGUUAAAGACGAUGACGUUGAUAGGCCGGGUGUGUAAGCGCAGCGAUGCGUUGAGCUAACCGGUACUAAUGAACCGUGAGGCUUAACCUU